ACCCGCUGAUUUAAGCAUAUCAGUAAGCGGAGGAAAAGAAACUAACAAGGAUUGCCUCAGUAGCGGCGAGCGAACUGGCAAAAGCUCAAAAUGUAAAUCUGUGGCGGUGACGUCAUAGAAUUGUAAUCUAUAGAAUCAGGCAGAAAGCAUGACAAUCGCAGAAGUCUCUGGAAAGAGAAAGCAAAGAGGGUGAUACUCCCGUAUUCGGCGAAUUGUCAGCUGUAUGCAUGGUUUCGAAGAGUCGGGUUGCUUGGUACUGCAGCUCUAAAUGGGAGAUAAACUUCUUCUAAAGCUAAAUAUUUAUGGGAAACCGAUAGCGAACAAGUACUGCGAAGGAAAGAUGAAAAGAACUUUGAAAAGAGGGUUAAAAGACUUGAAAUCGUUGAAAAGGAAGCGGUAGAAGAAAAGCAUUGCUGUGAGGUUUGUUAUGUGACAAUCGGCCUCGGGUUCGUUUAGUACUUAAUCGGCUAGCGGGCUCUUCGGUAACGGUUGCCUGUGACUUUCUCAUAGUAAAAGGCAAAAUGAGGUUUAUCUGCGAGAAUAACUAGCGAUGAAGACCCUUUUCGGAGGAGCUUCGUUAGAAAGUCGCAGAUUUACCUGAGGGUGCAUUGCGAUUUUGUCGAAAAUGCUUCUACUGACCCGUCUUGAAACACGGACCAAGGAGUCUAACACGUAUGCGAGUCUGCGGGUCCAAAAACCCAUAGGCGUAAUGAAAGUGAGUAUAAGGUGCGAAUCGCAAGACUCAGCACCGACCGACCUUGAUCUUCUGAGAAGGGUUUGCGUAAGAGCAUAUUUGUUAGGACCCGAAAGAUGGUGAACUAUGCUUGAGUAGGGUGAAGCCAGGGGAAACUCUGGUGGAGGCUCGUAGCGAUACUGACGUGCAAAUCGUUCGUCAAACUUGAGUAUAGGGGCGAUAGACUAAUCGAACCAUCUAGUAGCUGGUUCCCUCUGAAGUUUCUCUCAGGAUAGCAGGAACAAUGACGCAGUUUUAUCAGGUAAAGCGAAUGAUUAGAGGAAUUGGGGGUCAAAGACUCUCGACCUAUUCUCAAACUUUAAAUUGGUAAGAACCGGUGGUUUUCUUAACUGAACCAACGGGUAGAAUGCUUGUUCUUAGUGGGCCAUUUUUGGUAAGCAGAACUGGCGAUGAGGGAUGAACCUAACGCUGAGCUAAGGCGCCCAAAUUCUCGCUCAUCGGAUACCAUAAAAGGUGUUGAUUCAUUUAGACAGCAGGACGGUGGCCCUGGAAGUCGGAAUCCGCUAAGGAGUGUGUAACAACUCACCUGCCGAAUGAAUUAGCCCUGAAAAUGGAUGGCGCUGAAGCGAGAUGCCGAUACUCAGCCAUCGAGACAAAAUUUAAGUCUCGAUGAGUAAGAGGGCGUGAGCGCAGUGUAGAAGCCAUUGGCGUGAGCCUUGGUGGAACUGCGUUUAGUGCAGAUCUUGGUGGUAGUAGCAAAUAUUCAAAUGAGAACUUUGAAGGCCGAAGUGGAGAAGGGUUCCAUGAGAACAGCAAUUGGUCAUGGGUUAUUCGGUCCUAAGGCAUAGGGAAGCUCCUUGCAAUACAAGAGCGCUUGCUCGUUGCCGAAAGGGAAUGCGGUUAAUAUUCCGCAAACUGGACGUGGAUAUUGUGUGGUAACACAAGUGAGCUCGGAGACAUCGGCCCGCACCCCUGGAAGAGUUAUCUUUUCUUUUUAACUGACUGUCGCCCUGGAAUUGGAUUAUCCAGAGAUAGGGCUUCACGUCAGGCAGAGCACCGCACCAUAAGCAGUGUCAGGUGCGUGCGGGACGAUCCUUGAAAAUCCGAGUGAGAGUCUAUUCUCACGCCAGGCCGUACCAAUAACCGCAUCAGGUCUCCAAGGUU
Molecule: ribosomal RNA, 1858 nt
Filed under: Askenasia sp. LWW2010032604
Lineage: Eukaryota; Ciliophora; Litostomatea; Cyclotrichida; Mesodiniidae
Description: LSU rRNA
Rfam family: Eukaryotic large subunit ribosomal RNA
Source: RNAcentral